ACUCGCUUUUUAUCAUUCAGGUCAUCUAGAUACUUUUGAGAGGUGACAACGUGCUAGCAGCCCUUGCUCGCUCUCUGCUCCUCCUCGGCCUCGGCGUCCGCUCUGGCCGCGCUGGAGGAGCCCUUCAGCCCGCCGCUGCGCUGUGGGGGCCUCUCUCUGGGGCUGGCAGAGGCCGCAGCCACCGGCUAUCUCUGCUGGCGGGGAGGUGUGGAGGAGGAGGCGCGGGCGGGAGCCGAGGCUGCGCCGGUGGCGCUCCCGCCGGCGCGGGUUCCUGGUGGGCGCAGGCUCAGCGGGCCCCCUACUCUGCGCGGCCAGCCAGCGCCUGCUCAGGGGAGGAGCUCACUCUGGGCUGCUGGAGUGCCCUGGGCUAGGUGCCGCGAAGUCCAGCAGGGAGUGCCAUUGAGAGGUGAAGCCGGCUGGGUCCGGUGGUGACUUGCAGAACUUUUCUGUCUAGCUAAAGGAUUGUAAACGCAGCACUCUGUGUCUAGCUAGAGGUUUGUAAACACACCAAUCAGCACUCUGUCAAAACGCACCAAUCAGCUCUCUGUAAAAUGGACCAGUCAGCUCUCCGUAACAUGGACAAUCAGCAGGAUGUGGGUGGGGCCAGAUAAGGGAAGCAGGCCUCCGAAGCCAGCAGUGGCAACCCACUUGGGUCCCUUUCAAUGCUGUGGAAGCGUUGUUCUUUCACUCUUCUCAAUAAAUCUUGCUGCUGCUCACUCUUUGGGUCUGCCCCGCUGUUAUGAGCUGUAACACUCACAGCCAGUGUCUGCAGUUUCACUCCUGAAGCCAGCAAGACCACAAACCCACAGGGCGGGACAAACAACUCCGGACAGGAGGAAUGAACAACUCUGGACGCGCCACUUCUAUGAACUUUUAUGAACUGUAACACUCACCGCAAAGGUCUGCAGCUUCACCCCUGAGGCCAGGGAGACCACGAACCCACCGGAAGGAAUGAACAACUCCAGACGCACUGCCUUUAAGAGCUGUAACACUUACCACGGAUGUCUGCAGCUUCACUCCUGAAGUCAGCGAGACCACAAACCCAACAGAAGGAAGAAACUCCCGACACAUCUGAACAUCUGAAGGAACAAACUCUGGACACACCAUCUUUAAGAACUGUAACACUCACCGUGAGGGUCAACCGCUUCAUUCUUGAAGUCAGCCAGACCAAGAACCCACCAAUUCCGAGUCUCACUUUGUUGCCUAAGCUAGAGUGCAGCGUCGUGAUCAAGGCUCACUGCAGCCUCAACAUCCUGAUCCCCAGUGUUCCUCCCACCUCAACCUCCCAAGUAGCUGGGACCACAGUCUAUCUGAAUCAUGUUAUUGGACCAUGAGAGCAAGCAGCUGGAUCUCAUUCUGUCCAGGACUCCUGGAAACAGCAGCUCUAACAAAAUUGUCUUCAAUAAAUAAGUUUUUUUGCAUCACAUUUGUGUAUGUCCUGAAUGUUCUGAGCCCUUCAGAUUUGACUCAUAUUCAUGCUAAAAGAAAAA
This 1490-nucleotide long non-coding RNA is filed under the name Homo sapiens (human). RNAcentral describes it as "HSALNT0322161". Lineage: Eukaryota; Metazoa; Chordata; Mammalia; Primates; Hominidae. The record is from RNAcentral.